This 884-nucleotide ribosomal RNA is filed under the name Prevotella sp. RNAcentral describes it as "bacterial SSU rRNA". It matches the Rfam family "Bacterial small subunit ribosomal RNA", at positions 1 to 877 of the family's 1533-position model. The record is from RNAcentral. Lineage: Bacteria; Pseudomonadati; Bacteroidota; Bacteroidia; Bacteroidales; Prevotellaceae.
ACAAUGUAGAGUUUGAUCCUGGCUCAGGAUGAACGCUAGCUACAGGCUUAACACAUGCAAGUCGAGGGGCAGCAGGGAGAUAGCUUGCUAUCUUUGCUGGCGACCGGCGCACGGGUGAGUAACGCGUAUCCAACCUACCCCGUACUCAGGGAUAGCCCGUUGAAAGACGGAUUAAUACCUGAUGUUCUCCUUUAUCGGCAUCAUUAUUGGAGCAAAGAUUUAUCGGUACGGGCUGGGGAUGCGUCUGAUUAGCUUGCCGGCAGGGUAACGGCCUACCGGGGCAACGAUCAGUAGGGGUUCUGAGAGGAAGGUCCCCCACAUUGGAACUGAGACACGGUCCAAACUCCUACGGGAGGCAGCAGUGAGGAAUAUUGGUCAAUGGAGGCAACUCUGAACCAGCCAAGUAGCGUGCAGGAUGACGGCCCUAUGGGUUGUAAACUGCUUUUAUGCGGGGAUAAAGGAGCCUACGUGUAGGCUUUUGCAGGUACCGCAUGAAUAAGGACCGGCUAAUUCCGUGCCAGCAGCCGCGGUAAUACGGAAGGUCCGGGCGUUAUCCGGAUUUAUUGGGUUUAAAGGGAGCGUAGGCGGUCUGUUAAGCGUGUUGUGAAAUGUGGGUGCUCAACAUCUGCACUGCAGCGCGAACUGGCGGACUUGAGUUGGCUGAAAGUAUGCGGAAUUCGUGGUGUAGCGGUGAAAUGCUUAGAUAUCACGAAGAACUCCGAUUGCGAAGGCAGCAUGCUGUAUCCUUACUGACGCUGAAGCUCGAAGGUGCGGGUAUCGAACAGGAUUAGAUACCCUGGUAGUCCGCACGGUAAACUAUGGAUGCCCGCUGUUGGCGAUAUAUUGUCAGCGGCCAAGCGAAAGCGUUAAGCAUCCCACCUGGG